AAAGUUAGCUGGGACCACGAUCACGAAGGUGGUUUUCCCAGGGCGAGGCUUAUCCAUUGCACUCCGGUUAUGCUGACCCCUGUGAUUUCCCCAAAUGUGAGAAACUUCACUGCAUAAUUUGUGGUAGUGGGGGACUGCGUUCAUGCUUUCCCCCG
RNAcentral lists this small nuclear RNA (155 nucleotides) under Aotus nancymaae (Ma's night monkey). RNAcentral's name for it is "U1 spliceosomal RNA (ENSANAG00000020149.1)". It matches the Rfam family "U1 spliceosomal RNA". From Rfam's summary of the family: U1 is a small nuclear RNA (snRNA) component of the spliceosome (involved in pre-mRNA splicing). Its 5' end forms complementary base pairs with the 5' splice junction, thus defining the 5' donor site of an intron. Lineage: Eukaryota; Metazoa; Chordata; Mammalia; Primates; Aotidae. The record is from Rfam by way of RNAcentral.